Molecule: long non-coding RNA, 467 nt
Organism: Symphalangus syndactylus (siamang)
Lineage: Eukaryota; Metazoa; Chordata; Mammalia; Primates; Hylobatidae
Source: RefSeq, a predicted model, not a curated record
GAGCGUGUAUUGAGGGGGAGAGCUAGCGAGGAGUUAGCGCGGCGAAGAAAUUGGAUCUCACGAUGUUGUCCAGUCUCUAACACCUGGGCUCAAGCCAUCCACCUAGCUCAGCCUCCUGAGUCUGCAAUGGUGAGAAUCUAAGAUGGAAUCCUGAAAAUCCUAUGCUUUUCAAAAUAUAUUUUGAGUUCCCUUUAACCUAACAUAGAGAUGCCAAGUGGCGCAUUUAGCAGUAGGCUGUGUGUGUCCUCAAGCAAGGAUGGAGUGGCACACUAGAGAGUUUGAAAACGGCUCUUAAUAUUGUCAGAACUAAGUUAACUGAGUUAUUAUCUUAGAGCAGCAGUAGGCAAACUACAACCUGUGAGCCAAAUUUGGCCCACCACCUGUUUUUAUAUAGACCAGGAGAUAAAAUGGUUUCUACAUUUUUUCAAUAGUUGGAAAAAAAGCCUAAAGAAAAAUAAUAUUUUGUA